RNAcentral lists this ribosomal RNA (230 nucleotides) under uncultured bacterium. RNAcentral describes it as "partial 16S ribosomal RNA". It matches the Rfam family "Bacterial small subunit ribosomal RNA", at positions 568 to 796 of the family's 1533-position model. The record is from RNAcentral.
CGUGUAGGCGGUAAGUUAAGUUAGAUGUGAAAUACUUGGGCUUAACCUGAGGAAUGUCAUCUAAGACUGACAAACUAGAGUACAGGAGAGGGAAGUGGAAUUUCCGGUGUAGCAGUGAAAUGCGUAGAUAUCGGAAGGAACACCAGUGGCGAAGGCGACUUUCUGGCCUGAAACUGACGCUGAGGCGCGAAAGCAUGGGUAGCGAACAGGAUUAGAUACCCUGGUAGUCC